Molecule: ribosomal RNA, 352 nt
Filed under: uncultured bacterium
Lineage: Bacteria
Description: bacterial SSU rRNA
Rfam family: Bacterial small subunit ribosomal RNA
Source: RNAcentral
GGGCCCGCACAAGCGGUGGAGCAUGUGGUUUAAUUCGAUGAUACGCGAGGAACCUUACCAGGGCUUAAAUGGGAAAUGACAGGGGCAGAGACGCCCCCUUCUUCGGACAUCUUUCAAGGUGCUGCAUGGUUGUCGUCAGCUCGUGCCGUGAGGUGUCAGGUUAAGUCCUAUAACGAGCGCAACCCCUACCGUUAGUUGCCAGCGAUUCAAGUCGGGGACUCUAACGGGACUGCCGGUGCAAACCGUGAGGAAGGUGGGGACGACGUCAAAUCAUCACGGCCCUUACGUUCUGGCUACACACGUGCUACAAUGGUCGGUACAGAAACGCAGCCACUAUGCGAAUAGGAGCUAA